RNAcentral lists this transfer RNA (70 nucleotides) under Taenioptynx brodiei brodiei. RNAcentral's name for it is "Glaucidium brodiei brodiei tRNA-Arg". Lineage: Eukaryota; Metazoa; Chordata; Aves; Strigiformes; Strigidae. The record is from RNAcentral.
AGAAAGUUAGUCUAACGAAGAUAGUUGAUUUCGACUCAACAGACCAUAGCCCCUAAUCUAUGACUUUCUC